This 503-nucleotide ribosomal RNA is filed under the name uncultured bacterium. RNAcentral describes it as "bacterial SSU rRNA". It matches the Rfam family "Bacterial small subunit ribosomal RNA", at positions 19 to 518 of the family's 1533-position model. The record is from RNAcentral.
CUGGCUCAGGAUGAACGCUAGCUACAGGCUUAACACAUGCAAGUCGAGGGGUAGCAGGGUAGCAAUACCGCUGACGACCGGCGCACGGGUGAGUAACACGUAUCCAACCUUCCCAUAACUCAGGGAUAGCCUUUCGAAAGAAAGAUUAAUACCUGAUAGUACUUUUUCAAGGCAUCUUGAGAAAGUUAAAGAUUUAUUGGUUAUGGAUGGGGAUGCGUUCCAUUAGAUAGUUGGUGAGGUAACGGCUCACCAAGUCUUCGAUGGAUAGGGGUUCUGAGAGGAAGGUCCCCCACAUUGGUACUGAGACACGGACCAAACUCCUACGGGAGGCAGCAGUGAGGAAUAUUGGUCAAUGGGCGAGAGCCUGAACCAGCCAAGUAGCGUGAAGGAAUGAAGGUCCUAUGGAUUGUAAACUUCUUUUAUAGUAGAAUAAAGUGAUCCACGUGUGGAUUUUUGUAUGUAUACUAUGAAUAAGGAUCGGCUAACUCCGUGCCAGCCGCGGC